This 959-nucleotide ribosomal RNA is filed under the name Pireneitega xiyankouensis. RNAcentral describes it as "SSU rRNA". It matches the Rfam family "Eukaryotic small subunit ribosomal RNA", at positions 42 to 1002 of the family's 1831-position model. Lineage: Eukaryota; Metazoa; Arthropoda; Arachnida; Araneae; Agelenidae. The record is from RNAcentral.
GAUUAGCCAUGCAUGUCUAAGUACAUGCCGUAUUAAGGCGAAACCGCGAAUGGCUCAUUAAAUCAGUCAUGGUUCCUUGGAUCGUACCUUACUACUUGGAUAACUGUGGCAAUUCUAGAGCUAAUACAUGCAGCAGAGCUCCGACCUUCGGGGACGAGCGCUUUUAUUAGACCAAAACCAAUCGGACCUCGUGUCCGUCCUUUGUGGUGACUCUGUAUAACUUUGGGCUGAUCGCACGGGCCUGUCCCGGCGACGUAUCUUUCAAGUGUCUGCCUUAUCAACUUUCGAUGGUAGGUUACGCGCCUACCAUGGUCGUAACGGGUAACGGGGAAUCAGGGUUCGAUUCCGGAGAGGGAGCCUGAGAAACGGCUACCACAUCCAAGGAAGGCAGCAGGCGCGCAAAUUACCCACUCCCAGAACGGGGAGGUAGUGACGAAAAAUAACAAUACGGGACUCUUUUGAGACCCCGUAAUUGGAAUGAGUACACUCUAAAUCCUUUAACGAGGAUCCAUUGGAGGGUAAGUCUGGUGCCAGCAACCGCGGUAAUUCCAGCUCCAAUAGCGUAUAUUAAAGUUGUUGCGGUUAAAAAGCUCGUAGUUGGAUCUCAGUUCCAGACGGGUGGUCCGCCUACCGGUGGUUACUGCCUGUUCUGAACAGUCAGCCGGUUUCUCUUGAUGAUCUUCACCGGUUGUCUUGGGUGACCGGCAAGUUUACUUUGAAAAAAUUAGAGUGCUCAAAGCAGGCGUGACGCCUGAAUAAUGGUGCAUGGAAUAAUGGAAUAGGACCUCGGUUCUAUUUUGUUGGUUUUCGGAACACGAGGUAAUGAUUAAGAGGGACAGACGGGGGCAUUCGUAUUGCGACGCUAGAGGUGAAAUUCUUGGACCGUCGCAAGACGAACUACUGCGAAAGCAUUUGCCAAGAAUGUUUCCAUUAAUCAAGAACGAAGUUAGAGGUUCGAA